UUCGAUUGCCUCACAGCUGUGUACAGGUAGUUGUUUUUUUUUUUUACCUAGGAGCACUGAAUACGUAGAGAUAGAUAGGUGCUAGAAUAGAGCAGGACUCACGAGAUACACAUACACACAUGAAGGAAACUGAAAUCAUUAAUAUAGAGUAAACUAGUACAAUUUGACUGCGAUAAAAUGAAAGUACAUCAAUUUUAUUGUCAAAAUAAAAGAUAGCUAAGAUUGAUUUCCUCUAAAUCGCUGCCAUAUGUGCUCAACCAAGUCAUCCUUCAGUCGGCGAUGCAUAUCUUGAUCUCGAAUGUCUUCUUCUAUCUCCAGUACUUUGUAAAAUUCAUGAAUGGGUCCAUGUCCAUAUCCAGAUAAUGGUGCAGUUGAGGUCUGGUCAUAUUCGCUGUUAUAGUCAUGAUCGUAGCGUACUUUUACUUCGGUGAAUAGAGGUGAUCGAUUUAGGACGUUGAUGUCAUUGUUUGACCCGGCUGUACCAAAAAAUGCAUGCCAUAUCCAAAGGUCUUGCGAGGCAACGGCUUCUAGCAUUACGGUGGGUACUCUAUGGUCACCACGAGUAUUCUGCCCCUUCCAUGCCACUGGACAGUUUUUCCAUUGCCAGUGCGUGCAUCUCCUGAACUGGGUGAGAUUGUCUACUCCAUUUCGGUUGGUCCUUUACUGCUCUCCACCAAUGUUCAAAUGGAAAAGGUCUUUUCUUUUUGGCAACCGUUUUGUACUUUGCACGAACCUUGUCCAUGAGUUGAUCUUCAGAUUGACCGUUAGAAUAUGUGCUGCAGAUAUCGUGGUACACUCCAUUAAACUUGUUAAUAUGAGGGAUAGUCUUGUUCCAAUGUUCUUUGCACUGCAUAGCUGUUCUCUUUUUACCUCCAGGUGCAUGCUUGUUGUACUCAUCUGCAAUGUCCUUCCAAAAGCGGCAUGACUUCUUCCCAUUGCCUGAAAUUGGGUCAUUUGAAUUUUUUAACCAACAACUUACUAGGCAUAGGUCAUCCUCUUGAUUCCAAAUUAUACGCCCUCCUUUCUUUUCAGCUUCAUCUUCACUUGCAUCACUCCACUCUUCUAUGUCAACAGGAUUUGAAGGCAAUGUUGGUGCUGAAGUUGAGAAAAUGAGGUGAUUGGGCUGCUCUCUCCGCUGCCUAGAAAGAAGGCCAUUGAUCCCACCAGAGAUGCUGGACCAUUGGCCACGAAACCUCCUACACCUCCUGGCAGGUACUGCCCAAUAUUGACUGGGAAAGGGCCUCCAUGGUAGCUUACUGGUGUGGGAGACAAGCUCUGAUAGCUUGGACCUGGAAAUGGGUUGACAUUCUGUGGGUAAUGACCAUGGAAAUUUGGAUGAACAUGUGGAGGCAGGUAGUUCAGGGGAUAAUGGUGUGGCCAAAAAUUCUGGUGCUGCUGCUGUGUGUGUUUGUAUCUUGUGGAUCUGAACUAAAGAUCGAGGAGUUGAGAAAGUUUGUGAGGCUCCCUGAAGAUGACUUAUCCAUGUCAAUGGCUGGUUUGGUCGUUUGUAGUAUUCUAGUGUGUAUGCACAAGUGAGAAGAAGUUCAUGUCUAUUUGUAUGCAAAGAGAUGUCUGUAUGUGAAUUGUGACCGUUGCUACGAACACAUGAAGCCAACGGUCGUAUGCUGAAACAGUGUUGAAAUAUUAUUCUAUUUGGUUGGAGAA
Molecule: long non-coding RNA, 1665 nt
Organism: Setaria italica (foxtail millet)
Lineage: Eukaryota; Viridiplantae; Streptophyta; Magnoliopsida; Poales; Poaceae
Exons: 2
Source: RefSeq, a predicted model, not a curated record